GACGAACGCUGGCGGCGUGCUUAACACAUGCAAGUCGAACGGAAGGGCCGUGCUUGUGUGGGGUGCUCGAGUGGCGAACGGGUGAGUAACACGUGAGUAACCUGCCCUUGACUUUGGGAUAACUUCAGGAAACUGGGGCUAAUACCGGAUAGGAGCUCCUGCUGCAGGGUGGGGGUUGGAAAGCUUCGGCGGUUGGGGAUGGACUCGCGGCUUAUCAGCUGGUUGGGGGGGUAGUGGCUUACCAAGGCUUUGGUGGGUAGCCGGCCUGAGAGGGUGGACGGCGACAUUGGGACUGAGGUACGGCCCAGACUCCUACGGGAGGCAGCAGUGGGGAAUAUUGCACAAUGGGCGGAAGCCUGAUGCAGCAACGCCGCGUGCGGGAUGACGGCCUUCGGGUUGUAAACCGCUUUCGCCUGUGACGAAGCGUGAGUGACGGUAAUGGGUAAAGAAGCACCGGCUAACUACGUG
RNAcentral lists this ribosomal RNA (468 nucleotides) under uncultured bacterium. RNAcentral describes it as "partial 16S ribosomal RNA". It matches the Rfam family "Bacterial small subunit ribosomal RNA", at positions 28 to 507 of the family's 1533-position model. The record is from RNAcentral.